GACAUCCAGAGAACUUAGCAGAGAUGCUUUGGUGCCUUCGGGAACUCUGAGACAGGUGCUGCAUGGCUGUCGUCAGCUCGUGUUGUGAAAUGUUGGGUUAAGUCCCGCAACGAGCGCAACCCUUAUCCUUUGUGCCAGCGGUUCGGCCGGGAACUCAAAGGAGACUGCCGGUGAUAAACCGGAGGAAGGUGGGGAUGACGUCAAGUCAUCAUGGCCCUUACGGCCAGGGCUACACACGUGCUACAAUGGCGCAUACAAAGAGAAGCGACCUCGCGAGAGCAAGCGGACCUCAUAAAGUGCGUCGUAGUCCGGAUUGGAGUCUGCAACUCGACUCCAUGAAGUCGGAAUCGCUAGUAAUCGUAGAUCAGAAUGCUACGGUGAAUACGUUCCCGGGCCUUGUACACACCGCCCGUCACACCAUGGGAGUGGGUUGCAAAAGAAGUAGGUAGCUUAACCUUCGGGAGGGCGCUUACCACUUUGUGAUUCAUGACUGGGGUGAAGUCGUAACAAGGUAAGCGUAGCGAG
This 525-nucleotide ribosomal RNA is filed under the name uncultured bacterium. RNAcentral describes it as "bacterial SSU rRNA". It matches the Rfam family "Bacterial small subunit ribosomal RNA", at positions 983 to 1509 of the family's 1533-position model. The record is from RNAcentral.